Molecule: long non-coding RNA, 505 nt
Organism: Daphnia pulicaria
Lineage: Eukaryota; Metazoa; Arthropoda; Branchiopoda; Diplostraca; Daphniidae
Exons: 3
Source: RefSeq, a predicted model, not a curated record
AAUGAGAGUUGUUUGGAGACGCAGUUUAAUAAAAUAACAAAGAAAACACCAAAACGAAACGAUAACUUUUUACGUAAACGUGGCUGCACGAAAAAUAGCACAAAAAUAAAAUCACAAAAAUGUGGUCAUCGUGUGAAACUAGGAAUCUUUUGUCAUAGUUGUGGCUCCAUGCUCUCCACUCUAUUUUAUUAAGCAGAUUUUAGGCCUGAGCCAGUCGUCACAACAACAAGAUGCCAGUUUUGCUUGUGCUGCUGUUGACCUGUCAUCAGCAACAAUCUCAUCAUCAUCUCUUGGAUAAACAGCAUCCCAGUUGAUUGGAGAAAUUUCCCUUCUUUAAAUAUCCUCUGUCCUUGUGUACACCCAUGUGUGUGUGAGUGUAUUCACGAGGACCCCCUUUUUCCCUAUCCUGCCUGGUGUGUUCAACUCUUCAGGGAAUGGAUAGAUGCCUGGCUGUAUUUCCCAGGCUUAAAGGUAGGAAAAAUCUAUCUCAACCCUCCUUUUUGAC